AUUGAACGCUGGCGGCAUGCCUUACACAUGCAAGUCGAACGGCAGCACGGGUGCUUGCACCUGGUGGCGAGUGGCGAACGGGUGAGUAAUACAUCGGAACAUGUCCUGUAGUGGGGGAUAGCCCGGCGAAAGCCGGAUUAAUACCGCAUACGAUCUACGGCUGAAAGCGGGGGACCUUCGGGCCUCGCGCUAUAGGGUUGGCCGAUGGCUGAUUAGCUAGUUGGUGGGGUAAAGGCCUACCAAGGCGAUGAUCGGUAGCUGGUCUGAGAGGACGACCAGGCACACGGGAACUGAGACACGGCCCAGACUCCUACGGGAGGCAGCAGUGGGGAAUGUUGGACAAUGGGGGAAAGCCUGAUCCAGCAAUGCCGCGUGUGUGAAGAAGGCCUUCGGGUUGUAAAGCACUUUUGUCCGGAAAGAAAUCCUUUGCUCUAAUACAGUCGGGGGAUGACGGUACCGGAAGAAUAAGCACCGGCUAACUACGUG
This 486-nucleotide ribosomal RNA is filed under the name uncultured bacterium. RNAcentral describes it as "partial 16S ribosomal RNA". It matches the Rfam family "Bacterial small subunit ribosomal RNA", at positions 30 to 507 of the family's 1533-position model. The record is from RNAcentral.